UCCAGCCUCCGGCCGCCGCCGGGACGCGCACGCCCUGCGGCCUCCCGCUGGGCCUGCAUUGCUCUCUCCCUCAGCCCCGAAACCUAGGUCGUCUUCUCCACCUCGGCUCCGGAUCCGCCCUCUCCCUCACCGGAUCUACGCCUCCCUUGGAUGGAUCUGCAUCGACGCAUCGUUCUUCCGGUUUGUCGUGGUCCCUGUUUUCAUCGCCUGCGACGACCACGUCCACGCCCUCCGCGUUGUCUGCUUCCUCUUCCCUGGAGACGACCUCCGCCUCGGCUCCGCCGUAGGGCUCCCCGUCGCCGCCCUCCUCCGGGGGAGGGGGCAGGUCGACCUCUACCUCGAAAUCCGAGGGCGGGAGGUCGCCGUCAGGCCACUCUCCGCCCAUGUCCUCGCUCCUUGCCCCGCCGCCGCACCCCAUUCGAGCACUCAGCCAUCCGCUCCCACCACACCAACCCCUCCUCCAUCGAUGCUCCUACAGCCAGCGAGCUUCUGAAUUCCAAUUGGUGCUAGCAGCAAGCCAGCAUCGCCAUGAGGUCAUUGCCGUGUACUGCUGCUGCAUCAUCGAGCCGGCCGCUGUGCUGCAGCAUAGGAGCCGCUUCGUCCAUGGUGACUUCCGUAAUUAGUUUAUUUUUUCAGGCUAUGAACAAGAGCUAUCUGAUGUGCUGCUGAUUUGAAAGAAGCCUAAGGUUGAGGGUACACUUCUGAGUGGAUCAUGUUUUGGAUAAGAAAAAGCUUCAGAGCCAAGCAAAGAGCCAGGUUGCUUCUUGCUGUGUGCAUUGCUUGAGAGAGAAGAUAGCAGAAAUGAGCUUCUCCAUCAGAACAGGAAGAGCUGAGAAGGAAAUUUGAUUCCUGCUAUACAAGGUUUCCUAAACUGUCAAGGUUGUGACACCCAAAAUUCACAAUUGAGCAACGACGACGACGAGGGAGGCAGCUAACAGUCGAAGCGGACGACGACGAGGGAGGCAGCUAACAGUCGAAGCGGACGCGGGUGGCCGGUGGUGAUUACAAAUUUACAAUGCAUUGCAUCCUCUACAGGUCACGCGAUGGCUUGAGUUAUUUGUGGCAGUACCUAAUCAGUUGAAGAUCCAAACUGGCACAUUCUGAUUGCCACUACACCCGUUGCAAAGGUUUUCUGAUGUAGCACUUGCUGGAGCAUAUGUACUGUGUAGUUGCCAAGCUUAUUAUUUAAUAUCUAAGAGUACUAACAUUUAGCUUUACGUUCUGCAUAGGUGUUCCCAAUAAUAUCCCUACAAGGCAGAUAUACUAUCUAUUAUUAUCUAUAAGAAUCAUUUCAAUGAAUAAAACAAGGAAGUGAGGAAGAAAUAAAUUUGAUCUUUUUUUUUGAAACUUUCUUAUCGAAGAGAAAUUCUGAACUCUAUAAUGUGAGAUGACAGGAUCUAUACAUGUGGCUAUUACAUUGUUUUUUUGGUUUCUGCAUAUUUUUUCCAUGCAUGUGAUGUUAGUUCCAGUUAAAUAUUGUGCAUAGACUUAUUCAGUUUCUUAUUUGUCUACAAUGCGUCAAACAAUGAGCUCGUGAGGACUCAGACCAUUGUGAAGAGCGCCAUUGUACAAGUUGAUACUGCCCCAUUCAAGCAGUGGUACCUAACACACUAUGGAGUGGACAUCGGUAGGAAGAAGGCACCUGCCGCCAAGAAGGAUGCUCCUUAGAGGGCGAGGCUGCAGCUGAGGAAGCAAAGAAGAGCAACCACGUCCAGAGCAAGCUUGAGAAGCAUCAGCAGGGACGCACACUUGACCCCCACAUUGAAGAGCUGGUGGCGUGCAUUUCUUCCCGCCCUGGGAAGUGUGGCAGAGCUGGUGGGUAUGUAAUAUCAGAAUUCCGUUUGUCUUUCUUAGAACUUUUACCUGUCUGUAUACUCGACAUCAAUAUUGCAGCAUAAAAAGGAAUGUUUGUUUGUAGCAUAUUAGAGAAGUAUCUCCCAAUUGAUUUACCUGAGAACAAGUUUGCACUUUAAAUC
Molecule: long non-coding RNA, 1976 nt
Organism: Panicum virgatum (switchgrass)
Lineage: Eukaryota; Viridiplantae; Streptophyta; Magnoliopsida; Poales; Poaceae
Exons: 7
Source: RefSeq, a predicted model, not a curated record